This 72-nucleotide transfer RNA is filed under the name Bos taurus (domestic cattle). It matches the Rfam family "tRNA". Rfam says of the family: Transfer RNA (tRNA) molecules are approximately 80 nucleotides in length. The record is from Rfam by way of RNAcentral. Lineage: Eukaryota; Metazoa; Chordata; Mammalia; Artiodactyla; Bovidae. RNAcentral also lists the same sequence under 4 other names.
UCCUUGAUGGCUCAGAAGGGAAAGAGUCUGCCUGCAAUACAGGAGACCCGGGUUUGAUCCCUGGUUUGGGAA